Molecule: ribosomal RNA, 204 nt
Filed under: uncultured fungus
Lineage: Eukaryota; Fungi
Description: partial 28S ribosomal RNA
Rfam family: Eukaryotic large subunit ribosomal RNA
Source: RNAcentral
UUGCCUCAGUAACGGCGAGUGAAGCGGCAACAGCUCAAAUUUGAAAUCUGGCUCCUUUGGCGUCCGAGUUGUAAUUUGGAGAGGGGUCUUCGGCGAUGGCUCCGGCCCAAGUCCCUUGGAACAGGACGUCACAGAGGGUGAGAAUCCCGUGUCCGGCGGGCGGCCUCUCUCCCGUGAAGCCCCUUCUACGAGUCGAGUUGUUUG